AUUGAACGCUGGCGGUAUGCUUAACACAUGCAAGUCGAACGGCAGCACAGACUGUAGCAAUACAGUUGGGUGGCGAGUGGCGGACGGGUGAGUAACGCGUGGGAAUCUGUCUUAAAGUGGGGGAUAACUCGAGGAAACUCGAGCUAAUACCGCAUAUCUAGCUUGCUAGAAAGGGGGCCUCUGUUUACAUGCUCUCGCUUUAAGGUGAGCCUGCGUCUGAUUAGCUAGUUGGUAGGGUAAAGGCCUACCAAGGCAAUGGUCAGUAGCUGUUCUGAGAGGAAGACCAGCCACGCUGGGACUGAGACACGGCCCAGACUCCUACGGGAGGCAGCAGUGGGGAAUAUUGGACAAUGGGGGAAACCCUGAUCCAGCAAUACCGCGUGUGUGAAGAAGGCCUGCGGGUUGUAAAGCACUUUUGUCGGGGAGGAAAAGUUAAAAGCUAAUACCUUUUAACCAUGACGCUACCCGAAGAAAAAGCACCGGCUAACUCUGUGCCAGCCGCCGCGGUAA
RNAcentral lists this ribosomal RNA (510 nucleotides) under uncultured bacterium. Its description in RNAcentral is "partial 16S ribosomal RNA". It matches the Rfam family "Bacterial small subunit ribosomal RNA", at positions 30 to 523 of the family's 1533-position model. The record is from RNAcentral.